Molecule: ribosomal RNA, 379 nt
Filed under: uncultured eukaryote
Lineage: Eukaryota
Description: partial 18S ribosomal RNA
Rfam family: Eukaryotic small subunit ribosomal RNA
Source: RNAcentral
CAAUAGCGUAUAUUAAAGUUGUUGCGGUAAAAAAGCUCGUAGUUGGAUUUCUACCGAAGAUAGCCGGUCGGGUCUUCGACCUUGUAUCUGGUUUUGUCUUUGGUAUCCUCAUAGGGAACGUUUCUGCGCUUUAUUGCGUGGUGCGGUAUCUAUGACUUUUACUUUGAGGAAAUUAGAGUGUUCACGGCAGGCAAACGCCUUGAAUAUAUUAGCAUGGAAUAAUAAGAUAGGACUUUGGUCUAUUUUGUUGGUUUGCAGACCGAAGUAAUGAUUAAUAGGGAUAGUUGGGGGUAUUUAUAUUCCGAUGUCAGAGGUGAAAUUCUUAGAUUUUCGGAAGAUAAACUUAUGCGAAAGCAUUUACCAAGGAUGUUUUCAUUAA